RNAcentral lists this transfer RNA (68 nucleotides) under Fulvia mutica. Its description in RNAcentral is "tRNA-Met". The record is from RNAcentral. Lineage: Eukaryota; Metazoa; Mollusca; Bivalvia; Cardiida; Cardiidae.
AAAGGGGUAAACUAUAUUUUUAAGUUUUAGGAUUCAUAAUCCUGCUAAGGAGGUUUUUCCCCCCUUUU